RNAcentral lists this ribosomal RNA (468 nucleotides) under uncultured bacterium. RNAcentral describes it as "bacterial SSU rRNA". It matches the Rfam family "Bacterial small subunit ribosomal RNA", at positions 29 to 511 of the family's 1533-position model. The record is from RNAcentral.
AACGAACGCUGGCGGCGCGCUUAACACAUGCAAGUCGAGCGGCAGGGGCAACUCUGCAGCGGCGAACGGGUGCGUAACACGUGGGUAAUCUGCCUCGAAGUUUGGGAUAACUCGCCGAAAGGCGAGCUAAUACCGGAUGAGCCCACGGGACCUACGGGUCCAGGGGAAAAGGCGAAAGCCGCUUCGAGAUGAGCCCGCGGCCCAUCAGCUAGUUGGCGGGGUAAAAGCCCACCAAGGCAAUGACGGGUAUCUGGUCUGAGAGGACGGCCAGACACACUGGAACUGAGACACGGUCCAGACUCCUACGGGAGGCAGCAGUGGGGAAUCUUGCGCAAUGGGCGAAAGCCUGACGCAGCGACGCCGCGUGUGCGAUGAAGGUCUUCGGAUCGUAAAGCACUGUCGCGAGGGAAGAAAACCCGCAAGGGUCUGACGGUACCUCGAGAGGAGCACCGGCUAACUCUGUGCCAG